RNAcentral lists this long non-coding RNA (1470 nucleotides) under Vitis vinifera (wine grape). Its description in RNAcentral is "long non-coding RNA (VVIN_LNC007118)". Lineage: Eukaryota; Viridiplantae; Streptophyta; Magnoliopsida; Vitales; Vitaceae. The record is from RNAcentral.
UGCUUGUGCUCGUGUUUCCACUUGAAAUUCAAGCCUGUAAUCAUCCAAAAUCCUUGCUUAACUCGUCCAAAUAGCUCCUCCAUCAAUUGGCAUGCUUGAAUUGGUUCAUAAGCUGAUAAAAACAUGUAAACUUGCCACAAAAAUGGUUAAAACCAAUUACUAAGGACCUUAAUGAAUUAAUUGGGUUAAAUGAAUAUGAUUACUACUCAAAGGUGCUUAAAACCAUUAUUAUUAGGUCUACAAAAUAGCACUUUUUGGUAGUAAUCACACCCCCCAACCGACUCAUUGCUAGUCCCUUAGCAAUGGAGGAGAUAAAAACUAAGUAAACUAUAAUAAUAUACAUAAAAGGGAUCAUGCAAAUCACUCCAAAAAAUGAUAUGAGUGGCAUGAUGGACAUCCAUAGAUCAAUAAAGAUGUGAAACUCAACCUAUAAUAAGAGUUGUCAAAGCAUUCACUUGAUCAUAGAGUACAAAGACUGGAUAUUAUGCAAGUUUAAGCAUCAAAAGAAUUUCCACUCUCAAAAGAUCCAAAUCAAAUUCUUCCACUAAAAGCUAAGUGUUAAUGUGAUUAGCUUCCGAGUAUAGUAUGGAUAACUAUCAUCUCCUCCCAACCUAAGUCUUUCUUUAAGCUUAGAAAAAUUAACCAUCUCUUGAUAGGCUAGGAACGCACCUCUUAUUCACAAUUCUUUUCACUUACUAAACUUAACCAAUUCACCCAUGUAACAAGCAGAGGAUCGGUGACUCCCAACCAAUAAAGGCUUAGGGCACCAGGCUUUAAAGGCUUUCGCCACCCCUUCGGACCAUGCUCAGGUUUCAAGGUAAGAAAAGAAGUUUAUUCUAUUUUUUUUUUUUUUUUUUUCUUUUUCUUUUUCUAUUUUUUCAAAGACUCAUUGGUCUUUAUUAGGUGUCCCAACACUAUUAAAGAGAGGUUAAAGGUGUCAAAUUAUGAUUUCUCAAGCUUAGAGGGUGAGAUAGUUUCACAUCUUAUAACCGGAAUCUAAUGUAUGUGUGUGCGAAUAGCUUAAGGUGGAAGAGAUAAGUUUGCAUGCAAUGGGAGUUUCAACAAUUCAUCAACUUUUAGAAGAGCAUAAUACAAACUCUAAGACUCAUGUAAUCAAGUUGAAACUCGACUUCUCUCAUUUAAUUUUGAGAGUUAAUCCUUAAUAUCCAUGGAGUUUAAAGCAAAAAUUUUAAAAUUUAAACAAAAAGUAGCUAAUUUAACUAAGUAUGAUAAAAAAUUAAACUAAUACUUACUUCCUCAUCUCUCCCCCCAACCGAGAUGAACAUUGUCCUCAAUGUUUGAAUCAAAAAUAAGGAGGAAGGAAGUGGUACCUCAUGUGAUGUGGACUUGGAGUUGAGAAGGUUGAACCACCUGUUUCAAAAUUCAAAAAUUGAAUGAGAGAGGAAUUUAUACUAAAUAUUUACAAAAAUGAUGAGUGGGCCCCACUUUGAGCAGCUGAGGACAAGGCUC